Cyprinus carpio carpio is the source of this 467-nucleotide long non-coding RNA. Lineage: Eukaryota; Metazoa; Chordata; Actinopteri; Cypriniformes; Cyprinidae. The record is from Ensembl.
AGCUUCUAUGGAGUUAGUGGCCAAAAUACACCUGUCCUGUAACUAAUAUGAAAUUCCAGCUCAACCGUCUGCACACCUGCAACAGCUGUGGUCAGCAGCGUGAAGAGCAGCGGGCUGAGCACACAGCCUUGUGGAGCACCUGUGCUCAGUGUGGUAGUGCUCGAGGUUUUUUGGUCGACGCGGACUGACUGAGGUCUUUUAGUUAGAAAGUCCAGGAUCCAAUUACUGAGGGAACUGUUAAGGCCCAGCAGGUGGGUAAGAGCCAGGUGGAGGGUGGAGGAGAUUGCAUCGUCUGUAGAUCGGUUUGGACGAUAUGCAAACUGGAGUGGAUCGGGUGUGUUGGGGAGGCUAGUUUUGAUGUUUUGCAUGACUAACCUCUCAAAGCACUUCAUCAUGAUUGGAGUCAGCGCUAUGGGACGGUAGUCAUUUAGACAGGACACAGGUGAUUUCUUUGAUACCGGUAUGAU